GAAUGCAGAGACCACGUUGUAUAUGAAGCAUCCACUUUGCCUUGUACACCAGGGCAUUCAAUAACCACUUAAUAACUACAACCCUGAUGAUCCGAUUCACUACUAAAGUCUUCCGUGUUUAAAUUUUCAAAGUCAGAUUCUCCUACAGCAAUUGGCCCAGUUCCCCUUCCUAGAGGCAACUACUACUACUUAUCUCCCAUAUAUAUUUCCAGGAGUGAUGGUGAGGAGGAAUUGUGCCAGCUUGCUUCUUCACUGCCAUUUUGGAACCAGAACUCAGAACCUGAGAAAGAUGAAUGAAAUUUAGUGUUUCCCAUCCCCGAGAGACACCCAGCAUCCACAACUUCACACUCUGAUGCCAUUGUGUAUUUAUGCAAGAAAUACCAUAACUAAGAUGAGGUCUCGCUAUGUUGCCUAGGCUAGUCUUGAACUCCUGGCCUCAAGUGAUCCUUCUGCCUCAGCAUCGGGAGUCACUGGGAUUAAAGGCAUGAGCCACCAUGCUCAGGAACUUGACAUCAUCAGACAGUAAAUCAAGAGGUACUGACAACUGAGACUGAGUGAUGGUCCCUGCCUAGGAUUUGGAAUCUUUGCAUGAAAUAGGGACUCUAGCCACCAGCGACAAAGAAGUCAGGGAGACUGC
RNAcentral lists this long non-coding RNA (637 nucleotides) under Homo sapiens (human). Its description in RNAcentral is "SCN1A and SCN9A antisense RNA 1". Lineage: Eukaryota; Metazoa; Chordata; Mammalia; Primates; Hominidae. The record is from RNAcentral.